AUUGAACGCUGGCGGAAUGCUUUACACAUGCAAGUCGAACGGUAGAGGGGGCAACCCCUCGAGAGUGGCGAACGGGUGAGUAAUAUAUCGGAACGUGCCCAGUCGUGGGGGAUAACGUAGCGAAAGUUACGCUAAUACCGCAUACGAUCUAAGGAUGAAAGCGGGGGAUCGCAAGACCUCGCGCGAUUGGAGCGGCCGAUAUCAGAUUAGGUAGUUGGUGGGGUAAAGGCUCACCAAGCCAACGAUCUGUAGCUGGUCUGAGAGGACGACCAGUCACACUGGAACUGAGACACGGUCCAGACUCCUACGGGAGGCAGCAGUGGGGAAUUUUGGUCAAUGGACGCAAGUCUGAUCCAGCCAUUCCGCGUGCAGGAUGAAGGCCCUCGGGUUGUAAACUGCUUUUGUACUGAACGAAAAGGUCUCUCUUAAUACGGGGGGCUCAUGACGGUACCGUAAGAAUAAGCACCGGCUAACUACGUGCCAGCAGCCGCGGUAA
This 496-nucleotide ribosomal RNA is filed under the name uncultured bacterium. RNAcentral's name for it is "partial 16S ribosomal RNA". It matches the Rfam family "Bacterial small subunit ribosomal RNA", at positions 30 to 523 of the family's 1533-position model. The record is from RNAcentral.